UGGGUUGUGGCUCAGUGGUAGAGUGCUCGCCUCGUAGGUGGAAGUCACUGGGUUCGAUCCUCAGCAACACAU
This 72-nucleotide transfer RNA is filed under the name Ictidomys tridecemlineatus (thirteen-lined ground squirrel). RNAcentral's name for it is "Spermophilus tridecemlineatus (thirteen-lined ground squirrel) tRNA". It matches the Rfam family "tRNA". From Rfam's summary of the family: Transfer RNA (tRNA) molecules are approximately 80 nucleotides in length. Their secondary structure includes four short double-helical elements and three loops (D, anti-codon, and T loops). The record is from Rfam by way of RNAcentral. Lineage: Eukaryota; Metazoa; Chordata; Mammalia; Rodentia; Sciuridae.